GAUGAACGCUGGCGGUAUGCUUAACACAUGCAAGUCGAACGAACUCUUCGGAGUGAGUGGCGGACGGGUGAGUAACGCGUGAGAAUCUGGCUUCAGGUCGGGGACAACCACUGGAAACGGUGGCUAAUACCGGAUGUGCCGAAAGGUAAAAGGCUUGCCGCCUGAAGAUGAGCUCGCGUCUGAUUAGGGGGGCUAGUUGGGGGUGUAAGAGACCACCAAGGCGACAAAAGAUCAGUAGCUGGUCUGAGAGGAUGAUCAGCCACACUGGGACUGAGACACGGCCCAAAAAGACUCCUACGGGAGGCAGCAGUGGGGAAUUUUCCGCCCCCAAUGGGCGAAAGCCUGACGGAGCAAUACCGCGUGAGGGAGGAAGGCUCUUGGGUUGUAAACCUCUUUCCUCAGGGAAGAAAAAAAUGACGGUACCUGAGGAAUAAGCAUCGGCUAACUCCGUGCCAGCAGCCGCGGUAAUACGGAGGAUGCAAGCGUUAUCCGGAAUGAUUGGGCGUAAAGCGUCCGCAGGUGGCUAUGUAAAAAAGUCUGCUGUUAAAGAGUCUAGCUCAACUAGAUAAGAGCAGUGGAAACUACAUGGCUAGAGUGCGUUCGGGGGGGGGCAGAGGGAAUUCCUGGUGUAGCGGUGAAAUGCGUAGAGAUCAGGAAGAACACCCCCCGGUGGCGAAAGCGCUCUGCUAGGCCGCAACUGACACUGAGGGACGAAAGCUAGGGGAGCGAAUGGGAUUAGAUACCCCAGUAGUCCUAGCCGUAAACGAUGGAUACUAGGCGUGGCUUGUAUCGACCCGAGCCGUGCCGUAGCUAACGCGUUAAGUAUCCCGCCUGGGGAGUACGCACGCAAGUGUGAAACUCAAAGGAAUUGACGGGGGCCCGCACAAGCGGUGGAGUAUGUGGUUUAAUUCGAUGCAACGCGAAGAACCUUACCAAGACUUGACAUGUCGCGAAUCCCUGUGAAAGUAGGGAGUGCCUUAGGGAGCGCGAACACAGGUGGUGCAUGGCUGUCGUCAGCUCGUGUCGUGAGAUUUUUUUUGUUGGGUUAAGUCCCGCAACGAGCGCAACCCUCGUUUUUAGUUGCCAGCAUUAAAAAAGUUGGGCACUCUAGAGAGACUGCCCCCCGGUGACAAACCGGAGGAAGGUGGGGAUGACGUCAAGUCAGCAUGCCCCUUACGUCUUGGGCUACACACGUACUACAAUGCUACGGACAAAGGGCAGCUACACAGCGAUGUGGUGCAAAUCUCAUAAACCGUAGCUCAGUUCAGAUCGCAGGCUGCAACUCGCCUGCGUGAAGUCGGAAUCGCUAGUAAUUGCAGGUCAAAAAGCAUACUGCAGUGAAUUCGUUCCCGGGCCUUGUACACACCGCCCGUCACACCAUGGAAGCUGGUAGUGCCCGAAGUCAUUACUCCAACCUUUCGGGGAGGAGGAUGCCUAAGGCAGGACUGGUGACUGGGGUGAA
RNAcentral lists this ribosomal RNA (1462 nucleotides) under Scytonema sp. F18. RNAcentral describes it as "bacterial SSU rRNA". It matches the Rfam family "Bacterial small subunit ribosomal RNA". The record is from RNAcentral. Lineage: Bacteria; Bacillati; Cyanobacteriota; Cyanophyceae; Nostocales; Scytonemataceae.